This 790-nucleotide ribosomal RNA is filed under the name uncultured archaeon. RNAcentral's name for it is "bacterial SSU rRNA". It matches the Rfam family "Archaeal small subunit ribosomal RNA", at positions 85 to 876 of the family's 1478-position model. The record is from RNAcentral.
ACGGCUCAGUAACACGUGGAUAACCUACCCUUGGGACGGGCAUAAACCCGGGAAACUGGGUAUAGUUCCCGAUAGGUCUGGGAGGCUGGGAUGCAUUCAGACUGAAAGCUCCGGCACCCAAGGAUGGGUCUGCGGCCUAUCAGGUAGUAGUGGGUGUAACGUACCUACUAGCCUACUACGGGUACGGGUUGUGAGAGCAAGAGCCCGGAGAUGGAUUCUGAGACACGAAUCCAGGCCCUACGGGGUGCAGCAGGCGCGAAAACUUUACAAUGCGGGCAACCGCGAUAAGGGGACCUCGAGUGCCGACAUCAAAUGUCGGCUGUCGUGAUGCCUAAAAAGCAUUACAUAGCAAGGGCCGGGCAAGACCGGUGCCAGCCGCCGCGGUAACACCGGCGGCUCGAGUGGUGACCGCUAUUAUUGGGUUUAAAGGGUCUGUAGCCGGCCGGAUAAGUCUCUUGGGAAAUCUGGCCGCUCAACGGUCAGGCUUUCAGGGGAUACUGUCUGGCUCGAGGCCGGGAGAGGUGAGAGGUACUUCAGGGGUAGGGGUGAAAUCUUGUAAUCCUUGAAGGACCACCAGUGGCGAAGGCGUCUCACCAGAACGGACCUGACGGCAAGGGACGAAAGCUAGGGGCACGAACCGGAUUAGAUACCCGGGUAGUCCUAGCCGUAAACGAUACUCGCUAGGUGUCGGCCACGGUGCGACCGUGGUCGGUGCCGCAGGGAAACCGUGAAGCGAGCCACCUGGGAAGUACGGCCGCAAGGCUGAAACUUAAAGGAAUUGGCGGGGGAG